Molecule: ribosomal RNA, 442 nt
Filed under: uncultured bacterium
Lineage: Bacteria
Description: partial 16S ribosomal RNA
Rfam family: Bacterial small subunit ribosomal RNA
Source: RNAcentral
CCUACGGGAGGCAGCAGUGGGGGAUAUUGUACAAUGGGGGAAACCCUGAUGCAGCGACGCCGCGUGGGCGAAGAAGUAUUUCGGUAUGUAAAGCCCUAUCAGCAGGGAAGAAGAAAUGACGGUACCUGAGUAAGAAGCACCGGCUAAAUACGUGCCAGCAGCCGCGGUAAUACGUAUGGUGCAAGCGUUAUCCGGAUUUACUGGGUGUAAAGGGAGCGCAGGCGGCACGGCAAGCCUGAUGUGAAAGUCCGCGGCCCAACCGCGGGACUGCAUUGGGAACUACCGGGCUGGAGUGCCGGAGAGGUAGGCGGAAUUCCUAGUGUAGCGGUGAAAGGCGUAGAUAUUAGGAGGAACACCAGUGGCGAAGGCGGCCUACUGGACGGUGACUGACGCUGAGGCUCGAAAGCGUGGGGAGCAAACAGGAUUAGAUACCCCUGUAGUC